CAGUGCGGUGGCUGGCCGGGGAGGAAGGGGUGGGCCGGAGUCUAGAACAGAGAGAGGUGGGGCGCGCUGGCGACUCUGAGGCGGCUAGGCUGGGGGCGCCCUAGAGUGCAGCCCCGAACUGCCGCCCCCUCUGGAGUCUGGCCCCUAGCGGCUGAGAUGCUUCUCACCAAGGGGCGCUCCGAGUAAGUCAUAGAGCUCUUCCCUGCCGACCCAACUUUACUCAACUUUGAUCUUCAAAAACAUCUAGGAUAUGUAUUGAUAUAAUGCAGUAUGUGAUUGGUUUGUGUGUGUGUGUGUCCCAAAUACAAGCAAACUAAUAAUGUUAGUAAGUUUCAGAAUAGGGAAAGUUCGCAUGUUGAGUCAUGUGGUGGUUUUCUUUUAAGGUUUAAAUUUGGAUAACAUGCUAGUGCUUACGAGAUUUUACCAAAAACGUUCUUUUAUUGAGCUUUGCUGCUGUGGAGUUGUCAUGAUGAAACACGAAGAUGCCAGAAUUGUACCUCAAGAUAAGGCUUUAAUUGCCAGAAGGUUCUGAAAGUGCAACAGUAGGUCUGCUGGGGUCUUGGCACAGUACCACAUGGACCUGGACAAAAGCAUUGUUAAGAAUUUAUAUCAGGGCUUCCCUGGUGGCACAGUGGUUAAGAAUCCGCCUGCCAAUGCAGGGGACACGGGUUCGAGCCCUGGUCCGGGAAGAUCCGACAUGCUGCGGAGCAGCUAAGCCCAUGCGCCACAACUGCUGAGCCUGCGCCCUAGAGCCCGAGAGCCACAACUACUGAACCCACGAGCCUAGAGCCCGUGCUCCGCAACAAGAGAAGCCACUGCCAUGAGAAACCCGCGCACUGCAACGAAGAGUAGCCCCCGCUCACCGCAACUAGAGAAAGCCCGCGUGCAGCAACG
Balaenoptera ricei (Rice's whale) is the source of this 894-nucleotide long non-coding RNA. RefSeq lists it as uncharacterized. Lineage: Eukaryota; Metazoa; Chordata; Mammalia; Artiodactyla; Balaenopteridae. The record is from RefSeq and is a predicted model, not a curated record. The transcript has 3 exons.